Molecule: long non-coding RNA, 1178 nt
Filed under: Homo sapiens (human)
Lineage: Eukaryota; Metazoa; Chordata; Mammalia; Primates; Hominidae
Description: HSALNT0025319
Source: RNAcentral
CUUCACCAUUUUCCUGAAGAUUGAGACACUGCUCCAAGGUAUCAUUUUCAAAUACCUUCUGUUUCACUGACCAAACAUGUUUGUUAAUUUUUCUAUUAUAGGAAAAAAAAAUCAUGAACCAAAUUGGUCUAAGAAUCCAGGAAAGAGGAGUGAGGGAAGUUGAAAUGCGAUGAUUCAUCGGUCAUCACCACAAUGGCCACACGCAUGUGGAAGAGAAGCUCAUGAUUCUAAUCUGCACAGUUGCUGGCGGCUAGAUAUGCCUAAAGAGGAUGUGAAACAGCAGCUUCACUUCCAAUGGAGAUCCGGACAGUAAUAAAACAGUUUCGCAAUCUCUUCACUAAAUACAUCUUUGUUUGCAUGGUCUAUGUAUAUUGUCAUGGGGCAGGUGCAGGAAAAUAUAAAAUAUACAUAUUUAAAAUCCUACUGAGCUGCUGUGAAGUCAGUGACAAAGAAAAACACACACACGCUGGGGCUUCAUGCAUGUAGUUAAAUAAAUAACUUUGAGAUCAUCAAAAAGAGUCAGCACACCCAUAUUUCUUACUUGGCGCUCAUUACUGUUCAAAGACACCAUUUUUUUUUAAUGCUGAGCCAUCUUAAAACUUUGUCAGGCAACAUUAAAUUCUUCAAGUCUUAAGCCCUAAAGAAAGUUACCAGUAAUGGGCAGUAACAUUAAGUUAGCUUUGCAUUUAAGAAAAAAUAUUUAUCCAUCUGCCUUCUCCCACAGAGUACUUUGGAUCACUCUCAGUGGCCAUCGUUCUCUGUCCUGUCUUCAUGCAGCUGGGCUGAGCAGCAGCAUGCCACAGAAAGGGGCCAGCGGAACUCAACUGUCCAAAGAAAUGUCCAAACUGCUUCUGUUACGUAAAGCCAAUGUCACUUUCCUUUUUUAAAGGAAGCCCUGGGGUGUAAUCCUGCCUGAGAUGAGUCCACUGACACGACAAAAAUCUAAAAUGUGUAACUAUUUGGAGGAAAGUCAGUGUGUAUCUUCCACUUGAAAGGUAUAAUUCCUUAAAAGGGACAUAAAAAUAUUUUUUCUAUUGUAUACUCUAACAGUCAAUAACUCACAAGGAAACCGAAUAGAGAGCGAAAGAUGGAGCACUCUGGACUAAUGUGAAAAACAAACUCAAGGCCGGGCACGGUGGCUCACACUUGUAAUCCCAGCACUUUGGGAGGCCAACAGG